AAACCGGCGGACGGCUCAGUAACACGUGGACAACNUACCCUUGGGUCCGGGAUAACCCCGGGAAACUGGGGCUAAUACCGGAUGGGACAUCGCUUGCUGGAAUGCAGGAUGUCCGAAAGCUGAGGCGCCCAAGGAUGGGUCUGCGGCCGAUUAGGUAGUUGUUGAUGUAACGGAUCAACAAGCCUACGAUCGGUACGGGUUGUGAGAGCAAUAGCCCGGAGAUGGGUUCUGAGAAAAGAACCCAGGUCCUACGGGACGCAUCAGGCGCGAAAACUUUACAAUGUGCGAAAGCACGAUAAGGGAACUCUGAGUGCCUCCUAAGGAGGCUGUUCAGGUGCCUAAAAAGCACCUGGAGUAAGGGCUGGGUAAGACCGGUGCCAGCCGCCGCGGUAACACCGGCAGCCCAAGUGGUAGCCACUUUUAUUGGGUCUAAAGCGUCCGUAGCCGGUUGAGUAAGUUCCUUGGGAAAUUUGGCUGCUUAACAGUCAAGCUUCCAGGGAAUACUGCUCGACUUGGGACUGGGAGAGGUCAGAGGUACUCCAGGGGUAGGGGUGAAAUCCGUUAAUCCCUGGGGGACCACCGGUAGCGAAGGCGUCCGACCAGACCAGGUCCGACGGUGAGGGACGAAGGCUAGGGUCGCGAACCGGAUUAGAUACCCGGGUAGUCCUAGCAGUAAACGAUGCGGGCUAGGUGUUGGCAUCACUGCGAGUGGUGCCAGUGCCGAAGGGAAGCCGUUAAGCCCGCCAUCUGGGGAGUACGGUCGCAAGGCUGAAACUUAA
RNAcentral lists this ribosomal RNA (779 nucleotides) under uncultured archaeon. Its description in RNAcentral is "bacterial SSU rRNA". It matches the Rfam family "Archaeal small subunit ribosomal RNA", at positions 75 to 859 of the family's 1478-position model. The record is from RNAcentral.